GGUCGGAGGCGCGGGGCGGGGGGCAUGGUUUCUUUUGGAGCUACCUUUUUCGCUUUCUACCCCCGGGCAGAAUGGCUGCGGCGGUGACAGGUAAGGCCGCUUUCCUUCCGCAGGCUGUGCGGAAACGCGCUGGGUAUCCUGGAGAUGCCUUCUGGUGCCUUUGAAGGCACAGCCGUAGCUGCUUGAAGGUAGAUUUUGCUACAGGCUUUAUUGUAAUCGCUUCAUCGUCCUCUCCUGCGCAGGUCUGUAGGGGACAGGAGAGAGAUACAAGCGCCAGGUAAUUCUUAAAGGCUCACGAAUGCGGUAGGGAAACUGGAAGCCUGGAGAAGGAUGUUGGCUUGGCUUCUCCGAGCGUGCUGAUGACCGGUAGCCUACGGAAGGCAUCUGUGCUUUUCGCUGAGAUAAGAACCCAAAUGUUCUGUCGCUGCAGUCUCUGCUCGGGCUGUGAUGCUGAAGUCUUCCUGGAUUUUUAUGAACGUGACAACAUCAAAUGCUGAAAUCAAAGGAGAAAAGCCCUCAAAACUCUGCUCUGAAAUCUCUUUGCAUUUGUAGACUUCUGAGGAAUUGGAAGGUCUUCAGAGGAGGACAUAAAGACAAAGCAAACUAAGCAGAAAAUGCUGCAAAUGUGUGUUUCAUAUAGCCCUGGAACAGUGAGUUUGUUAACGCUCAGGCCAUCGUUGUCCUUGGUGGUGAGGAGGCGGAAGACUGGGGAGUUGGUUGAAGUAGAACCAUAACGAGUUUCUAAAGAAAACAAAUUUACUUUCUUUAAUAUAGUGAGCUGAAAAUCUCCACUAGGGAGCUGCUGCUUCAUAGCAUGUAUGAUAUAUUGGGUGGAAAACAAGUCUCUUGUCUUGGAAUACCCAUCUCUUGUGUUCUUAAUCCACUGUGAAAGUGGAGGUGGGAUGCUAGGAACAGGAAACACAGUGGUGAUAAUGGUUGGCUAUCCAAAAGGAAUAGAGAUAUUGGAGCCGGUACGAAGAGGGAUUCCAGUAAAAAUGACUAUUGUUGUUGGCACGCGACAUGUGCAGGAAUAUAUUAGUGGUCAGUCGGUUGUGUUUGUAGCCAUCGCCUUUAUCACCAUGAUGAUUAUAUCGCUUGCUUGGCUCAUAUUUUACUACAUACAACGUUUCCUGUAUACAGGAUCACAGUUUGGAAACCAGGGGCAUAGGAAAGAAACCAAGAAAGCAAUCAGCCAGCUUCAGCUGCAUACUGUGAAACGUGGAGAAAAGGGUUUAGAUGUUGAUGUGGAAAACUGUGCUGUGUGCAUUGAGAACUAUAAACUGAAAGACACUGUCCGAAUUCUGCCAUGCAAGCACAUCUUUCAUAGAACGUGCAUUGAUCCUUGGCUUUUGGACCACCGAACUUGUCCAAUGUGUAAACUAGACGUUAUCAAAGCUUUGGGAUACUGGCACCAGAAAAGAGAGAUGAAGACACAUGCGGGGGACCCUGAAGAUGUACUUGAAGUUCCAAUACCUGAAUCAAUAAGUGGCAGUGUUUCAGUUGGAAGCCUGAGUAUUGCUUUACAAGAUGAUGACAGAAAUGAAGUAAGCGAAUUGUCAGCUUCCUCCACUAAUGAAUCUGUAUUGCAGUGUACCAGUUUAAAAGAGGAUGCAGGUGAAACCACAGCGUUACUUGAUGUGGAUGUCAGUAAUAAUCGUCAUGGAGAACAUCUAUCUAAUGGAAAUUCCCAUUGAACUGCUUCAUGGAGAAGAUACCGUGAAUAGACUGUUGAAGAACUAUUAUUUUUUAUUUAAUUAGUAUGGACUUUUGUCUAGUUAAUGGAAAAAAUAACAAUGUAAAUUAUUUUACCUUUCAAACUUUUCUAGCUGGUGUUCCAAAAGGGCUAAUAACUAAGAAUUUUGUACACAGGAGGAUUUUAUAGAAUCUCCUCUGGAUGUCUCAUCCUAAAAAAAGAUGCAAUAACCCUUUUUCUGUAAGCGUUGUUACAAUGUCAUUGUGUUCCAGAGGGCUGUAACAAAGAUGAAGACUAGGCAGUGAAAACAAUGUAGAAUGUCUAACAGAUAAAUAUUUUGGAUGCACUAUUUUACAUUCAGUAUGUACACAUGAAGAACACUUACAAGGCUACAACUAUUAAAAUGUUCUGAAAGUUCUGAUCUGUUGUAAUUGGAGAUGGAUAUUGUUAGAAAAGACAUAAUCUCACCUUGAAGGAAUCACAUAACUUCAUGGAUAUGUUGCAUAUCCUGGUUUGUGAUGAAAAAAUUGCCAGUUGCAACUUUCCUUACAUGUAACAGAUAUUAAUUUGAUCUUGUGAAGUGUUCUACUCGGAGUGGAUGCUGAGAGAAAAGGAGAUUUUCUCUAUCUUGCUAGCUUUUAUACUGAAUUUGGCAGUAAUAGGUUGUGCUAGGUGGUCUUCACGUGCUGAGCAUGUAGACUUAUUUAGGUAUAUGCACACUGGUUACCUCUUUCAAUCUUAAACUCAGUAGAACAGAGGUAAAGGGCUAAUUAUGGCUAAAAUAUAUUUAUUAGUCUAUUUAUAAGAAUUUACUUAAUUCCUUCUUACUCCUGCUCCCAUCCUGUCCCACUUCGUUAUGUACAAAUUGAAACUGUUUCUUAGUAUCUACAAAGUUUGGUUUUGUUUUUUCUUUUCCUUUGCAUAGAGAUGCUGGAAUUCUUCUCUUGGGUAUUCCACAUUAGGAGUUUUGGCUGGGUUCGCCAUUAGCUUUUAUUCCUUUCUUUUAGAUUAGCAGUAUUGUGCCUUAUAGUAAAACACUUAAGAAACCUGAAGCAUCUGAGAGUAAAUAUAAACCCUGGCAUCUCCCAUUAUGACCUCUUAUUCAAAUAUUUAUAUACUGUAAGUGGUAUAAGGAAUUGCUAAACUGUUUUGUAAAGAAAUCUGUAUAUUUAAAACACUACUUAAGAGUGUUAAGUGAAUUGUUUAGGAUUUUAGCAUUGUCAUGUUAUAAUAUGCUACGUUCCUCAAUUUUCUUUUGUAAAGCUGUUACUACAGGUUGCUUAAAACAGUGUCUUUUACUAGACAUUUGUUGUUUUAGAGUGCAUUUUGUUUUUAAAAUGUAUAUUUGGAAUGUUUUUAAGAAAUAUGCAAUUCUUUUUCUAACUUAUAUUGAGCUUCAAUAGAAGCAAUAACUUUUCUUAAUUUUAGAAUGAAUGUUCCAGAAAUGACAGAGGUUUCAGCUGGGGAAAUAUAAUCUGAACUUCUACUUUGCAGAGCAGAUGUUUCACCCUAAAUUUCCUUCAGAAUAUUCCUAUUAAUGCUUACUUUAAAAAAAAAAAAACACAAAUAAAUCUGCCUCUUCCCUGUAGGAGUGUAACUUUGAGGUUUACUGGAAAAUUGUCAGGUUGUAGUUCUGAUGUCACCAGCAGGUGCAAGUUUUUGUGAUGCCUUUAUCUUACAAGAAGCACAUGAGAAUGGAGUAUGACUGACCAACCAUCUCCAAAACUGAACAAAUGAAAAAACCAACCCACCACUAAACCAAACAGUGUAGAGGGACAUUUAUGUCUCCAAAAGAAGCUUAUAAACAUUUCCAGAACUGCCUUUUUAACUAUCUCUUCAAUAUUAAAAUCUAAGUCUUCUCCCUCUUCCUUAACACAAAACUGAACAUUGAUGUAGUAAAUGUUGAGAGGGUUUAAACUCUAGCUCAAGGAGGAACCAAAAGGCGUUAUCAAGAGAAGUCUUGUCAGUCUGUGGAUUGUGUAUUGCUGAUACCUGCAGCGCAAUAUUCAUGCUGGAGGGGAGAAAUGUGGUAAGUACUUCAGCUUCUACGUAAUCUCUGUAAAACCAGAAGCUUUUCUCCUAGGAGUCAAAGCUGAGAUCUGGCAGAAAGCUGGAAGAAAAGCUGAAGAACCUGCAAAUUGAAAAGUGUGCUUGUAGAAUUUGAAGUGUAAGUAAUAGAUACCUGAGUAGGAAGAUUCCUGGAGUGUGUUUCUAAUGCUGGCGCUGUACCGGUUUCAUUUCAACCUUUCACAAGCACGUACUUACAGUUGUUUCAGCCAAACUGGUUUGCGCAUAGUUUGUCUUUGAUAUAGUCGGGCCUCGUAAGGCCAGCUGUGCUGCUGAGGAAUGAUGACAAUAAAAGGCCGAAUUGCAGUGCCUCCAGCAAGCAGUUUGCUCUCCUGGGAAGCACGAUGACAAAAAUCUCCUGAAGCGAAUCAUUAGUCUGACCUCAGUCAAAAAGCUGACAUGCAUUAACAAGAAGUGGUGGGUUAAGAAGUACAGGACAGGAAAGAGACAAUGUAUGGAGCUGAAAACAGCAGCAAGUGAUAUGUGAAGAUUUGGGAAUUGGAAUUGUAGAUAAAACAUGCACAAAUCAAGCUGAAGGCUUUUUUGUUUUUGUUCAGUAUGGGUCCUGAUCUCUCUCCUCAGAUAUCCUGCUGUAUUGCAAAACUUGAUUUGAGAAAGUUUUAAAAGUAGAAUGUCUCUAUAAUUGCAUGUUUUUGUGUGAAGAAUGCAUUGCCUGGAAAAUGUCCACUAUACUUCCAUUGGACCUGAAGCUCCUUCUCACCAUCUGAAACAUGGUAAUUGAUACUGCAUUUUUAAGUGAGCAUAUCCUACAUAAUUCAGAAGAGCAAAAUAAUUUGAGUUUCCAUCAUUUUGUUAGUCUGAAGCUUAUAUCCAAAACUUUGAAGCCAGUUACUUCUACUGUAAACAUAACUGCAGAGAACAGUUUGAACUUGCUAGUGUGUCAACAACUAUUCACAAUCGACUGUCUUUUAUGGUAACCUUGUACUAACUUGGUUGCACUGUUUGGAUUAAGCACUGGGCUGUCUUUUUCCAUUGUGUAUGUACAACUGUAAGAAUGUCAAGUUAUGCAUUGUUGUUGUAACUUAAUGGCUAAAAGCUCAAAUUCCAUAAUAAAUUAUG
RNA transcript from Egretta garzetta (little egret), 4840 nucleotides. It is a transcript of the gene named ring finger protein 149, with no coding region annotated. The record is from RefSeq and is a predicted model, not a curated record. NCBI's taxonomy places the organism in Eukaryota, Metazoa, Chordata, Aves, Pelecaniformes, Ardeidae. The transcript is spliced from 9 exons.